This is a long non-coding RNA of Astatotilapia calliptera (eastern happy), 870 nucleotides long. NCBI's taxonomy places the organism in Eukaryota, Metazoa, Chordata, Actinopteri, Cichliformes, Cichlidae. The record is from Ensembl.
GUUUGAGAAGCUGCUGAACAGCACUGAAGACCAGCUUCAAGAACUUCAGGGUUCCAGUCAGUCCUCUUACCAGGAGCUGAUUGGUCGGCUUUACCAGGAAAUGACAGUGGAAUAUGUCCAGAGUCUCCUGAAAGGAGAGGUCAAACUGAAGGACAGCAAUCAGCAGCAGAAGGCUUACGAGACUGUGCAAGAAAAUGGAGAGAAACUGCACGAGCUGUUUGCCAGAAUGUGAAAAACAUGUUUCGGCUCUGCUCAAACUCAAGACAAACCUCUCCAAAGCCGACAGGAAAAUCGUCAAAACCACUCUGUCAGACACACUGAAAGAGAGCCGUGCUGAUCCUGGAAUCCGGAAGUUUUUCUCCAAAAUUAAAGUGAGAUGAGCCGCACAUUUGCUUCUUAGAGUAUCACUGACUGAGAGUUUGGUUGCAGAGCAGCAAUAUUAUCGUGUAUUAUAUUGUGUUACAGUCUAUCUCUGUAAAGACAUACAGAGUGAAUGCCAGGGAAAAACCUUCAGAUGCUACUUAGACUGAAAUCCCUAUUAUACGCAGACUCGGUGAUGGUGAAUGCUUGCUGUAGUUACUGUAUGUUAUUGUAUACAUAAGCUAGAUUUUACAUUCAUGCUGGCAAUUUUUGUGCAUUUCAUAGAAACUGUGAAUAAGUAUGCAAGAGUCUGUUUUUACACACUUACAAACAGGUCAGUGCCGUUCUAUUAUAUGUCGUUUUGUUUAAAAACUACAAUGAUAUUAAAGUCUAGUUUUUUCAUAAGUUGUAUUUUAUGCUAUAUUGUAUUACAGAGAAUUAUACAUGUCUCAUGUACAUAAAAAGAUGUAAGUUGAGUUUUUUUUAAUAAAUGUGCAAAAACCAGCUCAA